This 1385-nucleotide long non-coding RNA is filed under the name Bos indicus x Bos taurus (hybrid cattle). Its description in RNAcentral is "lncRNA (ENSBIXG00000007574.1)". The record is from RNAcentral. Lineage: Eukaryota; Metazoa; Chordata; Mammalia; Artiodactyla; Bovidae.
CCCCACAGAAGGUAUUAAAGGAGUUCACUAUUAUUUAUUAUUUUAUUUUUGGCUGUGCUGGGCCUUCAUUGCUGUGCUGGCUUUUCUCUGCUUUCUAGCUGCAGUUGCAAUGCUUGGAUUUCUCAUCACAGUGGCUUCUCUUGUUGCGGCUUCUGGGCUUUGGAGCACAGGCUCAGUGGUUGUAGCGCAUGGACUUAGUUUCUCUGUUGCGUGUGGGAUCUUCUCGGAUCAAGGAUUGAACCUGUGUCUCCUGCAUUGGCAGAUGGGUUCUUUACCACUGAGUCAUCAGGGAAGCCCAGGAGUUCAUUAUUCUUCAUCACUACCUACUUACUACAAGAGGAAAAGGCACCCUGUCUUUUACUGUGAGACACAGUUCCUGUUUUAAGGAUUUUACAGUUUGGCAGAGAGAUAAGAGAAAUGAACGGCCAUCAGAAUACAAUACAUUAAAUGUCAAGAACAAGAAAAAUGAACUGCUGUGCAAUGGAAAUUCAGAGGUGAGAGAAUUGUUUUCCUGCCCAUUUCUUUGUGUCCAAAAUCCCAUUUGGAAUUGAAGUAUGUAUUUUGUAGUACUAUGCAGUCAUUUCUUCAUACAGAAAUCUUAAUUUGACGGGAUUUAACCUCUAUUUUUUGGUCAUUUGGGAUUUCAUGGAGUCUGGAAUGAAGGACACAGUUAAUUUGUAUCUUCAUACAAUAACUAUUCUUAAAAAAAAACAAACCUUGAACAAUAUAAAGUUUAUAUGUCUCUCAUGCAACAGCUCAGAGGUAGCAUGGCUGUCUAGAGGAGGCAGGUUUAUUAGACAGGGUUAUGCCAGGUGUCUUUUCUCCCAUACCACAUCAUUUCUAAGAGUUUCCAGGUAAUAACUCUUCUUAAGAUGAUAUUUAGGGAAAAAAGACAGAUUUUUGACUCACUAAAUAUCUAUGAGUAUACUUGAUAUUAAAGGCACUCGAAAGACAAUUUUUGCAUCUAUUUAUUUCUGCCACUUUAUUUUCUUGGGCUCCAAAACCACUGUGGAUGGUGACUGAAGCCCUGGUAUUAAAAGAUGCUUGCUCCUUGUAAGAAAAGCUAUGACAAACCUAGCCAGCAUAUUAAAAAGCAGAGACAUCUCUUUGUUGACAAAGGCCUAUGUAGUCAAAACUAUGGUUUUUCCAGUAGUCAUGUACAGAUGUGAGAGUUGGGCCAUAAAGACUGAACAUUGAAGAAUUGGAUGUUUUUGAACUGUGGUGUUGGAGAAGACUCUUGGAAGUCCCCUAGACAGCAAGGAGAUCCAACCAGUCCAUCCUAAAGUAAAUCAGUCCUGAAUAUUCAUUGGAAGGACUGAUGCUGAAGCUCCAAUGCUUUGGCUACCUGCUGCAAAGAACCAACUCAUUGGAAAAGACCCUGAUGC